CUCAAAAUGUGUUCUAUUCAUAAUGAUAAGUUUUAUUUCAAAAGUUAAAAAUUAAUAUUUCAUGGUAAGGAUCUGUCUCAUAUAUAUAUUAACAGGUUUCAUUUUUAUAUUCAAAAAUGUUUUUGGUAAACUUUAUGGUAUAUUUCAUAUGUAAUUUCACAGUAUUUCUAACUGCGUAGUCAGCUGAGUCUGUUUUGCAUAUGAAGUUGAACUGCACGUAUUGUUCUUUUAAAUCAGUAUUUCUUAGAAUUAUCAGUAUGAUACUUUGAAUCUAAAAGAGGAAGAAGUCCAAAAUCGAGACAUUGACUAGACUAUUUUUAAAGGUUAGGUGUUAUUAGUGAUAGCCAGAUGACGACUUAUGUCUAGAACAACAGUAUAUAAGAUAGACUCUGCAAAAUAGAAUAGGGUUUGACUUUCUGAGACUCUGGUCUCUCUAUCUUUUCAGCUCACUUCCUCUUCUUUGGCUUCACUCGACAACUCCUCUUAGACUCAGACUUAGAACUCUUACAGUUAAUGGAGGCACCGCUGGGAUACUGAUCGAUCCUUGAAGUAUAUUUGAUGCAUCGCAAGGAAAGAUAAAGAGAGGAUUGAACCUUUGAAUGUUUUAGGUCCUAUACAUCCUCCAGUAUUCCAGUAUCCUCUUCGGAGAGAAACAGAGUGAGUUGCACAGGAAAUUGUGAACCAGCUUCAGGAAUCAGGGAUUUUGGUACGAGUGCAUGCUGUCACAGAAAUAUUCUGCGACUGGUUCUAAGGGUGACUCUUUGAUGUGACUUCUGCAACAGUGCAGCUCAUUGACAUUCUGGGAGUGGUUGCUGUGCUCAUGGCUGGACAUCAGUGUUUCAUUGCAUCAUCAUAACAUCACUCGUUAACUAAUUCUACGUCAUCUGAGAGACCUGUGCUAAAAUCUACCAGCUGAUAGAUAUAUAUAGAUUUACAAAUUCCUACAUUAAGAUGCCUUAAAAGAUUGUUGAUCAAAGAGAUUCUUAUUCUCCCAUUUAUACCAGUAGUGAUGAGGAAAUCUAUACCUUGCAGGUGAAGGGUAAGGAAAGGUAUGAGAUGUUGAAAACGAUCAACGAAAGUUUGGAAAUUAACGACAUGGUACCAUAAGGACAAAUAUCUUCAGCUACUAUCUCCUAAGGGCAAGAAGAGAAAGAACGAUGAUAGAGUUUAGAGUUGGGAAAGAUGGAAGGCUGUGGUAAGUCCUCAACCCAGCAAAAGUCCAGGGGACGCCAGGGGUCGAAUUUCCUUAGGAGUUCUCGUCUGGCCAUCUUGGUGAAGAUCUUUGUUAAUUUUAAGGUAGCUGGGGUUAGAGAGGUAUCUACAGUACUAUCUAUCUGAAAUUGUUUUAUUGAUUUUCUAUAUUUUCAUGUAUGCAUCAUUUAUUUUUCUUUUGAAUUACUCUGUAUUUUUGGUUUUGAUUUAAGGAAAAGGUUGUGGCGAGUCUUUUGAUAAGACUCGAGUGGGGGAUUGGUGUGUGGAGAUUCUAAGAAAUCCACAUGGUGAUAGAGAUUCUGAGAAGAAGUCCAUGUAUUUAAAUUAAACCCAAGUGUUGUUGAGAGAUUCUGAGAAGUCACGUACUCAAAAUGUGUUCUAUUCAUAAUGAUAAGUUUUAUUUCAAAAGUUAAAAAUUAAUAUUUCAUGGUAAGGAUCUGUCUCAUAUAUAUAUUAACAGGUUUCAUUUUUAUAUUCAAAAAUGUUUUUGGUAAACUUUAUGGUAUAUUUCAUAUGUAAUUUCACAGUAUUUCUAACUGCGUAGUCAGCUGAGUCUGUUUUGCAUAUGAAGUUGAACUGCACGUAUUGUUCUUUUAAAUCAAUAUUUCUUAGAAUUAUCAGUAUGAUACUUUGAAUCUAAAAGAGGAAGAAGUCCAAAAUCGAGACAUUGACUAGACUAUUUUUAAAGGUUAGGUGUUAUUAGUGAUAGCCAGAUGACGACUUAUGUCUAGAACAACAGUAUAUAAGAUAGACUCUGCAAAAUAGAAUAGGGUUUGACUUUCUGAGACUCUGGUCUCUCUAUCUUUUCAGCUCACUUCCUCUUCUUUGGCUUCACUCGACAACUCCUCUUAG
Cyprinus carpio carpio is the source of this 2064-nucleotide long non-coding RNA. NCBI's taxonomy places the organism in Eukaryota, Metazoa, Chordata, Actinopteri, Cypriniformes, Cyprinidae. The record is from Ensembl.